UGACAUUAUUAAAUAGUGAAGGACGCAAUACACAAUCACAUGACCGGAAACUGUCUGACGUUUGUUACUAAGAUUGAAUUUCAAUGUUGAACGAUAGAAAAUAUCAAUAGUAACACAAAUGGCUUAUAAUAAGGAGGGUUCAUAAAGGACGUGACUUUAUUUUUUAUUUUAAUUGUUUCACCUGACAGGAAUCUGACAGAAAUACAGAGGCUGAAUGGUUUUGUGACGACUGUUCUAAAUGUUACUGUUGCAAAUGUGUGGAGUAUCAUAACUAUCUUUUCAAGAAGCGUGCAAUUUUAAGCAAAGAAAACAUCAGCCUAUGGCCUGAGACUGAUGUGGUUGAACAAGAGAAAUGUAAGAAGCACCAGAAAGAAAAACUGACAAUAUUCUGUGAGGAACACAUUCAGCUGAUAUGUCAUGUCUGCCAUUUCCACAAUCAUCAGAAAUGCAGUCAUUUGGUACUAAUAUCUGACAAAAUGAAACAGCUGCAUUAAAAAGGAGACUUCAAGCAGUUGUCAGCAACUAUUUAUACACAACACCAACAGUUGAUACUUGAGAAAUAUGACUUAGAGGAGAAUAUUAAGUCUCUUGAGAAAUCUUACAAGAACAUUCUGGAAGGAAUCAAUGCUUUACGAAAGACAAUUAAUGAUUCUUUGGAUAAACUGGAGAAAUAUACCAAGAAGGAGUGGAACAUAUUUCUGGUCACAAUGAGAACAUUUAUUCAAACUGACAUUGAAAACUGCAGUAAUACCAUCACAAUAGUACAUGCUUUGAUGAAGAUUUGCUGAAAAUAAAAAACAAAAGUGAAGCACUUUGUUUUAUCAAGUACAGAAAAUGUAUUGACCUGUCCGUUAAGGUAAAAUCAGUUUUACAAGAAAUGACACAAAGAAUUAGAGGACACUAGCUUUUAAGCCUGAUACAACUAUCCAACAAACCCUUUUCACUCUCUCAGAAUUGGAACAAAUACGGAGCACAAUGGCACAAUCACAAACAGGUGCAGUAAGCAAGUCUGAUGAAAUCAUAAAAGUGAGGAGAACAGUGUGAUGAUUAAGGGUGAUGCAAACACAUGCUGUAUCACAGGUAUCUGUGAGACAGCUUCUGAAGCACUCCUCAUCACAGACCAGCACAAUCGUAAAGUGAAGCUCCUGGAUAGAACCUACAAGGUGGUGGCCCACUAUGACUUGCCUAAUACACCAUGGUCCAUGUGCAGCAUUGACUCCAGCCUGGCUGCUGAAAAUAUGAGUAACAAAGAAGUCCACUUUAUCAGAGUGACCAAUGGUCAGUUGAUAAAGGACAGGAUACUGAAGCUAGAACAUUGUUGCAUUGGUAUUGCCCAUCAGGAUAGUAACCUGUACAUUACAGAUGGUACAGCUCUGUAUCACUAUACUGUGAAUGGAACACUGGUGAGGGAGAUGUUUCGUGAUACAUCAGGUCCAUGAACAGUUACCUCCUGUGCAAUGAGUCCAGAUGGAGACAGGAUAUAUGUGAUUAAUGAGUCCAGUAAACAGCUGGUCACACUAUCCAGGGAUGGCCUGAUCUCCACCCUGACUGAUAUUCAACUGAACUUCCCUCUAGAAGUACUACCAGGCCUACAUGUGACAGAUAAGGACAAGUCCUGGUGUGCGGAUACUAUAAAGACAUAAUCACCCAGAUGGACAGAGAUGGGAGACAGACUCUGGCAGAGAUGGUCACACAGAAGGAUGGUGUGACUAGCCCAUUAUAUGUAUACUACAGUAAGCACAGAGACUCAAUCAUUGUAGGAAUGAUGCGAGAUAAUGACAUUUUAGUGUUUAAGGCACACCGACUGUUUCAUUAGGAUGACAUACAUGUAUGCUAAUGCACACAAUCAUAUAAACAGUUGUCAUUUAAAAUAGUGUUGCAGUUUUUUGUACACUGUACAUUGACUGUUGGAAUAGGAAAUAUUCAAUAUUCCCUGUAUAAAACUAUAACAAAUAUCCAAUGAAGCAUGUCUUUACCAAAUCGGUAUCAGUGAAAAAUUGAAAUAGAAAUAUGCUCAAAUAUCAUAAGUAAAAGAAAUAACUUAUUAGUUUAAUUGAAACUAGGUUUGAAAGGAUGGUAUAAACAUUAGAGAACAGACUGUAACAAUGAUUUUGUUUGAGGAUCAGUUUACUUAUUGUUUAUAAAUAUCUUAUGAUAUUUUUUAUGAUAUGCAUGUCAUAAAUUUGUGUAUGAACAUUGUCUGUCCGUGUGUCAAGUAUUUGUUAAACUUAUACAAUGUAUUUAAGACACUGUUGGAAAUGAUAUAUUCAAUAUUCCAUAUAUGAAACUAUUACACAUAAAGCAUGUCUUUACCAAAUCGGUAUCAGUGAGAAAUUGAAAUUGAAAUUGAAAUAUGCUAAUACAUAAUUAACAAAAAAUGCAAACCUAUUAGCUUAAUCGAAACCCGGUUUGAAAGGAUUGUACAAACAUUAAAUAACAGUCUAUUAAAAUGAUUUAUUUUGACGAUUAGUUUACUUAUGGUAUUGCUCAUCAUAUGCAAGUCUGUCAGUUUGUCAAGUAUUUUUUAACUUAUAUUUAUGUGAGUAUACUAUAUAACAUAGGAACAGAGAGAAUCUGGGGUUGGGGUGGAGUUAUGCAUACACACGCAAUGAUACAAAAAGUGUGGGUUAGUUAUUCAUUAAUUUAAUUGGUGUAUAUAUGUAUUAUUUUAGUGUGUAAAUAAAAUGUAGUCUUAA
This is a long non-coding RNA of Dreissena polymorpha, 2696 nucleotides long. RefSeq lists it as uncharacterized. The record is from RefSeq and is a predicted model, not a curated record. NCBI's taxonomy places the organism in Eukaryota, Metazoa, Mollusca, Bivalvia, Myida, Dreissenidae. The transcript has 3 exons.